CCUACGGGAGGCAGCAGUGAGGAAUAUUGGACAAUGGGCGCAAGCCUGAUCCAGCCAUGCCGCGUGCAGGAAGAAGCAUCUAUGGUGUGUAAACUGCUUUUGUACAGGAAGAAACACUCCCUCGUGAGGGAGCUUGACGGUACUGUAAGAAUAAGGACCGGCUAACUCCGUGCCAGCAGCCGCGGUAAUACGGAGGGUCCGAGCGUUAUCCGGAAUCAUUGGGUUUAAAGGGUCCGUAGGCGGUUUAAUAAGUCAGUGGUGAAAUCUGGUCGCUCAACGAUCAAACGGCCAUUGAUACUGUUAGACUUGAAUUAUAAGGAAGUAACUAGAAUAUGUAGUGUAGCGGUGAAAUGCUUAGAUAUUACAUGGAAUACCAAUUGCGAAGGCAGGUUACUACUUAUGGAUUGACGCUGAUGGACGAAAGCGUGGGGAGCGAACAGGAUUAGAUACCCUGGUAGUCCACGCCGUAAACGAUGGAUACUAGCUGUUCGGAGCAAUCUGAGUGGCUAAGCGAAAGUGAUAAGUAUCCACCUGGGGAGUAACGUUCGCAAGAAGUAGAAGUUACAANAGAGUUAGAGGCGNGAGAGNGCGACGGACGACGACGAGGGAGGAGG
This 614-nucleotide ribosomal RNA is filed under the name uncultured bacterium. RNAcentral describes it as "bacterial SSU rRNA". The stretch from base 1 to 532 matches the Rfam family "Bacterial small subunit ribosomal RNA", at positions 338 to 873 of the family's 1533-position model. The record is from RNAcentral.